CUUCUUUUAUUUUGGUCUGAUUCUCUGUAAGUGGAUGGUUACAUUUCAAAUGAGAUUUAUCAUAAAGUACUGUAUAUUUAUUUUUCUUAGUAUUUAUCAAAAUAGAAUCAGAAUAGCGUACAAACUCUGGAGAGUACAGUGAAUGGUUUAGUAUCAGGCUAUCAUUUAUAGUAAGCCAUGUGAACUAGAAAACCUGAAACCUGAAGUGUAGGGAGAUGUUUAGUUAAAUUAGGGCUUCUUAACUUUUUGUAUGUCAUGGACCCCAAUGGUAGUUUGGUGAAAUGUGUGAACCCGCUCUUAGAAUGUUUUUAAAUCGAUAAAUUAAAAUACACAAGAUUAUAAUGGAAAACAAUCAUACUGAAACAAAAUUAUCAAAAUAUUUUAAAAUAAGUUCACAAACCAUAGGUUAAGAUCCCUGACUAGAUAUUGCCAGACUUUUCCUAAGUAUGAGAACUACCAGAGUUGGGAUAUUCUUUGUAUUUAUGUGCCACCUAUUAAAUCCCUAGUUCUGCUGCUCCUUUGCUUAUUCUACUAGGAGAACACUUUUUUGUAAGUUCACAGGAGCACUAGGAUACUAUGUUACAUCCUUUGAUAGUUUGUUCUCUUGAGUAGAUUGCACUGCCCAAAGGAGAGUCCAUCCUGGAUUUGUGUUAUGAAAAUAAAGAAUAUGCUCAAUUUUCCAGCUUCCCAUUGAAAUGAAACUUGGCGCCUUUACCAUGCAUCUGCAUUUCUUGAAAACUUUUAAUAAUCAGUCUGUCAGUUUUUGCCUAACAGCUGUGAUCAGUAAUAGGUACCUAAAAACAUCUAUAAUCAAAAUGGGAACCACAAAAACCAAAUCUGCCUAUGGAAAAAGUCCAAAUCAAAGGGAAAAUGUGACAUCUGAGAACUUCCUCUAAGGAGUCACAAGAAAAAAAAUGAAAUUUUUAUCUUCUGAAAAAAGAGGAUUGUCCCAAAGAAAGCAUGACUUUCAUAUGCAUGGAUCCUAUUCUUCAGUGUAUUUGAUUGUAAUGUACUUGGUUGGAGAUAUUAUGCCCUUCAGCAAAACUUUGGAAAUCUAAAGCACCUAUUAUUCUGGAAAAUUAUCUGGCCCUUAAUCAUCUUUCCAGCAAAGUAACUAAAGGAAGAUUUUGCUUUAUCUGAGCCAGUUGCUUCUCUUCUGUUUGAAAAGAUUCAUGAUGUCAUCAGUGUGGGAAUUUCCUCCAUUAAUAAGAUUAAAUACUUCUAUAUUUCUUGAAUUGCCAUGGUCAAAAAUAAAUUCAUCAUUUGAUGGCACCAACUUCUAAUGAAGAACCCAUACUCCAGAGCUUGCUUUCUACUGGGACAGUCUGAGAGAACUUAGAGUCCCCUUUGACAUCAUGAUUUUGAAAAAAGGACUUUGAUAUAAGGGAACAGCCACAUGAGUCUCAAGUAUUUUUGAUUCACUGGUCCUCUAUCUAUUCCUCAAACUUAAGAUGAGAAAAAUUUUUUUAUGAAACUAAUUUAACAUUACUAUAUUGUUGUGAUUUUGAAUAUAUAUGUUAUAUAUUUGGGAUGAAUAGUUCAAGAAUAUAAAUCCUGAUUAUAGGAAGUUAACAAUUGGUAAUUGGCUUUUAAUAUCAUGAAACUAAAGACUUUGCCAUUGAUGAUGUAUUUAUCUUCCAGAGUUUAUCUUUUGCAUUCUUCAAAAUGUAAUUGUGAAGACGACCAUUCUGCUUAGAAAAUUUUGCCAUUAUUUUCUGAAUAUCAGAUCUGGAUAUUAUUUGUCUCUGCUUGUGACUAUUUUCUCAUGGGGUCAAGAUGGCAUUAUUCCAGAAAAGUCAUUCCCGACUCUGUUAGUUCUGAAAGAAAGACUUUUCAAUAUUCUGAAGGGUGAUUUCCCAAUGACUCAUGGAGUUUAAAGGUUAUGCAUCUUGGGAUAGUCAGACACUGUUUAAAAAGCAAAAUAAAAGGACUGUGUUGGUUAAAUGAAGACAUUUGAAUAUGUUAUCACUCAGAGGAGUCACAUUUGACACAAAGAAACCACAAAGAGAAUUAUAUGAGCUUUUCUUCUUCCUUCCUGUUUAUUUUAGGAUAUAAAAAAUGUUACAUUUUACACAUUUAAUAUCAUUGAGGAUAUUAAGCCAAUGGAAGAAAUCUGGCUACAUGCUGAAGAAAAACAGUAUUUUUAUAGCUAAAAAUUAAAUAUAUGAAAAGAAGAAAAGGCCAGCCAUAUAAAACCCACCAAAACACUUUUCUCCUGACAUAGUAGAUCUUGAAGCUAUCAGAUUUGAAUCAUCUUGGGAACAUGCUCUUUUGUCCUGAAGAAAAAUUGUGUAUGAUAGUUUAUAUGAAGGGACCAUUCUAUUCAGAGAAUGAAAGAUUCAAGCUUCUUGCUUUUCAGAACCAUCAAAUGGCUCAAGGGUGAUUUUUUUUAGCCCAACAGCAGUCCUGGUAUAUUAUGGGUCAAAUAGUGGUCAAAGAUUUCUACCAUUAAACAUCCAAGUGUUCCACAUUUUAAUAAGAUAUUCUUAAUAUAUAGUCAGGGUUUUAUUUGAGCAUCAAUAUUAUCUUUGUUCUAGUCCA
This is a long non-coding RNA of Sarcophilus harrisii (Tasmanian devil), 2541 nucleotides long. RefSeq lists it as uncharacterized. NCBI's taxonomy places the organism in Eukaryota, Metazoa, Chordata, Mammalia, Dasyuromorphia, Dasyuridae. The record is from RefSeq and is a predicted model, not a curated record. The transcript is spliced from 2 exons.